RNAcentral lists this ribosomal RNA (535 nucleotides) under Schwanniomyces polymorphus var. polymorphus. Its description in RNAcentral is "eukaryotic LSU rRNA". It matches the Rfam family "Eukaryotic large subunit ribosomal RNA", at positions 102 to 653 of the family's 3401-position model. The record is from RNAcentral. Lineage: Eukaryota; Fungi; Ascomycota; Pichiomycetes; Serinales; Debaryomycetaceae.
GCAAAGCUCAAAUUUGAAAUCUGGCACCUUCGGUGUCCGAGUUGUAAUUUGAAGAAGGUAACUUUGGAGUUGGCUCUUGUCUAUGUUCCUUGGAACAGGACGUCACAGAGGGUGAGAAUCCCGUGCGAUGAGAUGCCCAAUUCUAUGUAAAGUGCUUUCGAAGAGUCGAGUUGUUUGGGAAUGCAGCUCUAAGUGGGUGGUAAAUUCCAUCUAAAGCUAAAUAUUGGCGAGAGACCGAUAGCGAACAAGUACAGUGAUGGAAAGAUGAAAAGAACUUUGAAAAGAGAGUGAAAAAGUACGUGAAAUUGUUGAAAGGGAAGGGCUUGAGAUCAGACUUGGUAUUUUGCAAGCCUUACCUUCGUGGUGGGGUCCCCUGCAGUUUACUGGGCCAGCAUCGGUUUGGAUGGUAGGAUAAUGACUUGGGAAUGUGACUUUGCUUCGGUAAAGUGUUAUAGCCCUUGUUGAUACUGCCUGUCUAGACCGAGGACUGCGUCUUUGACUAGGAUGCUGGCAUAAUGAUCUUAAGUCGCCCGUC